Molecule: small RNA, 117 nt
Filed under: Pongo abelii (Sumatran orangutan)
Lineage: Eukaryota; Metazoa; Chordata; Mammalia; Primates; Hominidae
Description: Metazoan signal recognition particle RNA (ENSPPYG00000040661.1)
Source: Rfam by way of RNAcentral
GCCAGGUGUGGUGGCUCACACCUGUAAUCCCAAUACUUUGGGAGGCUGAGGUGGGUGGAUCACCUGAGGUCAGGAGUUUGAGACCAGCCUGGCCAACAUGGUGAAACCCCAUUUCUA